GUGCCCGCUUCAGCAGCACAUACACUAAAAUUGGAACAAUAAUACAAAAAGGAUUCGCAUGGCCCCUGCACAAGGAUGACAUGCAAAUCUGUGAAGCGUUCCAUAUUUUC
RNAcentral lists this small nuclear RNA (110 nucleotides) under Castor canadensis (American beaver). Lineage: Eukaryota; Metazoa; Chordata; Mammalia; Rodentia; Castoridae. The record is from RNAcentral.